AUGGAGGCCGGCGGUAGUAGUAGGAGGAGUGAGACUACCAGCAGGAAGAGGAAGUCAGCUGCACUCGAGGGCGAGGGCAGUCCGGCUCCGGCGCCGGCGGCGCCGGCAGCUCCCGAUCCCGGAGCGGCUGACCACGAUGGUUGUGGGGGCGGGCGAGAUCUCCACUUCAGCGACCUCCCCGACGACGUACUCCGCAAGAUUAUUUCGGUCCUCCCCAUGAAGCAACGCGGUCGCACGCAGAUCCUCGCGAAACGGUGGCUUCCCCUCUGGCGCUCUCUUCCUCUCAACAUCGACUGCGGUGAAAUCGCCCGUUCUAAUCAUGGUAAGCUCGGUGAUGUGUUACAACGCAUAAUUUCCUCCCACCAAGGCGACUGCCACCGCUUCUGCAUUCGCCCAUUCUUGGCCACGAACAUGGAGAACGAUGCUGCCGUGGACGCCUGUCUCCUGUCCCCCGCUCUGAAUAAACUCAAGGAGCUUGAGUUCUACCGUCGGCCGUGGGACAAUUGGCAGCGGGUGCCGGCACCAACAUCUAUCUUCCGUUUUUCGCCCACCCUCUGUGUCGCCCAAUUCGGGCAUUGCGCACUCACGGACGACAUCGUUCAAGGGCUUCACUUCCCGCAGCUUAAGAAGCUCGGUCUUGAUUAUGUCUUCCUCUCGGAGUUCUCACUCAGCAGCAUGAUUGCCGGCAGCCCUUCUCUCGAGGUCUUGCUAAUUAUUCGGUGCAGUGUAGCCCGUUGCCUCCGGAUCAAUUCAUUUACCCUUAGAAGCAUUGAAGUCGACAAUUCUUCACCAGAUCCAUCCAUGGAGGAGCUGAUCAUCGAGAGUGCCCCUCAUCUUGAAAGAUUAUUCCAUCUUGAUCAGAACGAGGAUUUGCAUGUAUCAGUGCUCUCGGCGCCUAAGUUCAUCAGGCUCGUGUUUGGUUCCACAGAUAUUCAUCAGGGACCGCGCAUUGCAAUUGUUAGCCUUUCAACAGCACUGUCCAGAAUCAAGUCUUUGCAAGUCUGUAUGCGUACUCUAUGUUUGGACAUGGUUAUUGAAUUGAUGAGUUGUUUUCCAUGCAUGGAGAAGUUGUACAUUCAGUGCGAGAAAUCUGGGACGAAGAAUUUGUGGCGUCGUAAACACCGGGACCUUCUUAGAUCUUUUGUCAUCCGUCUAAAAAAAUAG
This 1164-nucleotide ribosomal RNA is filed under the name Triticum aestivum (bread wheat). Its description in RNAcentral is "partial small subunit ribosomal RNA". The record is from RNAcentral. Lineage: Eukaryota; Viridiplantae; Streptophyta; Magnoliopsida; Poales; Poaceae.